CUUGUGAACUCAGGCGAGUUCCCGGAAACAAAGUUCUUUAAGAUUUUUAGCGAGAUGGGGCGACGCGUGUGACUUUUGCAUUGGUUAGCGUUCUCAUUGGUUUUUAGCAUUUUUCAAGUGAGGAAGAACUGUAGAUUUUCUGAGAAAAUCACUGCUAAAUCAUGAUCAAACGAUGCUCAAUCUCCAAUUGCAAUGUGCCAGCAAAUACCCAAUUCAGAACAGACCUCUUAGCAUCAACCACAGAGGACUUAAUUCCUUGUUUCAAUUUGAAUAUUGCGAACCACCGUCACUAUAUAAAUUGUGUCACUUCUUCUGGUUUCUUCUUCUCUUCCUAUAACAAAAAAAAAUCAGAAAUCCCAAACAAAAAAAACCAAAAAUAAAAAAACAAAAGGGGUAAAGAGCAAAGCAAACCUCGCCCAUUGACGUUCUUGGAUAUGGAUAGAGGUAGUUGAUA
RNAcentral lists this long non-coding RNA (454 nucleotides) under Nicotiana tabacum (common tobacco). RNAcentral describes it as "long non-coding RNA (NTAB_LNC016209)". The record is from RNAcentral. Lineage: Eukaryota; Viridiplantae; Streptophyta; Magnoliopsida; Solanales; Solanaceae.